This 253-nucleotide ribosomal RNA is filed under the name uncultured bacterium. RNAcentral describes it as "partial 16S ribosomal RNA". It matches the Rfam family "Bacterial small subunit ribosomal RNA", at positions 524 to 776 of the family's 1533-position model. The record is from RNAcentral.
UACAGACGGUCCAAACGUUAUUCGGAAUCACUGGGCGUAAAGGGUGCGUAGGCGGGUCUUUAAGUCAGGGGUGAAAUCCUGGAGCUCAACUCCAGAACUGCCUUUGAUACUGAGGAUCUUGAGUUCGGGAGAGGUGAGUGGAACUGCGAGUGUAGAGGUGAAAUUCGUAGAUAUUCGCAAGAACACCAGUGGCGAAGGCGGCUCACUGGCCCGAUACUGACGCUGAGGCACGAAAGCGUGGGGAGCAAACAGG